Molecule: long non-coding RNA, 329 nt
Organism: Coregonus clupeaformis (lake whitefish)
Lineage: Eukaryota; Metazoa; Chordata; Actinopteri; Salmoniformes; Salmonidae
Exons: 3
Source: RefSeq, a predicted model, not a curated record
CGGCCUCAGGUGGUGGAAAGACCAUUCUCUACAUUGCACUGAUUCAAGAAGAAAUCGACACAAGUCCUCUCCCACCAGAUGCACCUGAGUUUGCUAGAAUGCCCGAGGCAAAUUGCCACAAGUGUGGUAAACUAAUGCCUGUACAGCUGCUGCCAGUCCUGUGGGUCUGCAGGUCACAGUACGGAGCCAGACAAGGAUCUCAGCAUUGCUGGAGUGGCAGAGAUGGAAUCUGAUGUAAUGGAUUGUAGAGUGGUACAGGCAUCGUGUCCGAUCUGUCUGAAAAUGUAUCCCAUCGCUAACCUUGAGGUUCAUGCCAGUUUUUGUGAGAG